UACGAAGGGGGCUAGCGUUGUUCGGAAUUACUGGGCGUAAAGCGCACGUAGGCAAGCAAGUCAGGGGUGAAAGGCCUGGGCUCAACCUGGGAACUGCCUUUGAAACUGCUGGUCUUGAGUCCGGGAGAGGAUGGCGGAAUUCCCAGUGUAGAGGUGAAAUUCGUAGAUAUUAGGAAGAACACCGGUGGCGAAGGCGGCCAUCUGGACCGGCACUGACGCUGAGGCGCGAAAGCGUGGGGAGCAAACAGG
This 249-nucleotide unclassified non-coding RNA is filed under the name uncultured Alphaproteobacteria bacterium. RNAcentral's name for it is "contains 16S-23S intergenic spacer region". It matches the Rfam family "Bacterial small subunit ribosomal RNA", at positions 524 to 776 of the family's 1533-position model. The record is from RNAcentral. Lineage: Bacteria; Pseudomonadati; Pseudomonadota; Alphaproteobacteria.